AGGAUUAUUAUUAUUAUUAUUAUUAUUAUUAUUAUUAUUAUUAUUAUUAGUAUUAUUAUUUACUUCGGUGAGCUGUUAGAAUCGUUAGCGCCA
This is a long non-coding RNA of Octopus sinensis (East Asian common octopus), 93 nucleotides long. RefSeq lists it as uncharacterized. The transcript has 3 exons. NCBI's taxonomy places the organism in Eukaryota, Metazoa, Mollusca, Cephalopoda, Octopoda, Octopodidae. The record is from RefSeq and is a predicted model, not a curated record.